This 72-nucleotide transfer RNA is filed under the name Datura stramonium (jimsonweed). RNAcentral describes it as "tRNA-Lys". It matches the Rfam family "tRNA". Rfam says of the family: Transfer RNA (tRNA) molecules are approximately 80 nucleotides in length. The record is from RNAcentral. Lineage: Eukaryota; Viridiplantae; Streptophyta; Magnoliopsida; Solanales; Solanaceae.
GGGCCAGAAGCUUUUUGGUAGAGCAUUGGGCUUUUAACCUAAUGGUCGCAGGUUCAAGUCCUGCUAUACCCA